This 1210-nucleotide unclassified non-coding RNA is filed under the name Chelonus insularis. RNAcentral's name for it is "uncharacterized LOC118068880, transcript variant X1". The record is from RNAcentral. Lineage: Eukaryota; Metazoa; Arthropoda; Insecta; Hymenoptera; Braconidae.
UUAAGAACGUGAGAGAAAUUGUCCAUAUUACAAAUGCAACCUGGAGUUGAAUCUAAUCAAUUACAUAAUUAUUUAAGUACAAAUAAUAUUCAAGUUUUUGCUAUACAUGAAGAACUAAUUGAGAGAGUUUCUCAGGAGAUAUCAACAACAUGGAAAUUAAUUCCAAUUUUUUUACACUUUUUGUCUGCUGUAUCUGGCUAUGCAACUUCAAUAUUGUUCUAUAUAUUUUGGAAUGAUAUUUUUGGAGGGCAAUGUCCAAUAUGGGCUAAACUUCAAAUUCCAGAGCGACAUCAAAUCCCGAAAACAGAUAAAAUAGCUGAAUUCGAUAACGAUAGGGACAUAAUACACGACAAUGAUUGGCGUAAAAAUGUUAUAAUAACAUUUUUAUAUGAAUGGCACUGCAAUUAUUAUCACUUUAUUUGUCUUUGUUCAUGUUCAUUUGGUGUUAUCUGGUGCAUGCUAUUUGCUAGAUGUGCUACUGGAAUAUACGCUGCACAAUGGUUGAUCGUUCCACCAGCUUUAAUUUUUGAAACAGUUUUUACCGCAAUCGUAUAUAGUGCUGCAUAUGAUUUCGAGCAUGGAUAUUUGAGCUUCACCAAUAAUUUGAAACAUGUUGCUUACUCGUCUAUGAACGCCACUCAACUAAGUGAAUUUUCUCAUGAUUGUGAUCUUGUGGUUUUUUAUCUAAAAAUAAUCCAUUUUUCCUGGCACAAUUUAUGUCAAGUACACUACAUAUUGAAGAUUUUAUCGUGGACGAUGGCCUGGAGCUGGAUAGGUGGUUUGGCAUAUUUACUUGUGCGAAUAAUCGUAGUUAAUGAUUUCCGUCUUCUCCGGACAAUUGUGUAUAAAAUCUCAAAUAAGAAAAUUACUGAAACAGAAGCAGAUAGAAACUAUAUUAUUGAUACUAAAUUGAAGGCUCAAAUGUUACCACCUAAACCACGAAUUAAACAACCAACAUUAUACUUAAUGGCCCAAACAUAAAAGUUGAAAAACAUUCAUGAUGCAUAAUGUGUGUUUAGUUAUUUUUUUAAAUUAAUUAUUGUGUAAUAAUUUGCUUUGAGAUGUCCAGGUUUAUUAAUUGAGCUUCAGCCAUCUGGAUUUUAUUCAUAACAACAUCUGAAGCUUGUUGAACAUGAAUUAAAACCUGUGUACACAGAAAAACAGUUUUUUUUUAAAUUUUUGUUUUCAUUUAAUUACCCAUAAUAAAUAA